RNAcentral lists this ribosomal RNA (465 nucleotides) under Vreelandella stevensii. RNAcentral describes it as "partial 16S ribosomal RNA". It matches the Rfam family "Bacterial small subunit ribosomal RNA", at positions 338 to 795 of the family's 1533-position model. The record is from RNAcentral. Lineage: Bacteria; Pseudomonadati; Pseudomonadota; Gammaproteobacteria; Oceanospirillales; Halomonadaceae.
CCUACGGGCGGCUGCAGUGGGGAAUAUUGGACAAUGGGCGAAAGCCUGAUCCAGCCAUGCCGCGUGUGUGAAGAAGGCCUUCGGGUUGUAAAGCACUUUCAGUGGGGAAGAAAGCCUUGGGGCUAAUACCCUCGAGGAAGGACAUCACCCACAGAAGAAGCACCGGCUAACUCCGUGCCAGCAGCCGCGGUAAUACGGAGGGUGCGAGCGUUAAUCGGAAUUACUGGGCGUAAAGCGCGCGUAGGCGGUCUGAUAAGCCGGUUGUGAAAGCCCCGGGCUCAACCUGGGAACGGCAUCCGGGAACGGCAGGCUAGAGUGCAGGAGAGGAAGGUAGAAUUCCCGGUGUAGCGGUGAAAUGCGUAGAGAUCGGGAGGAAUACCAGUGGCGAAGGCGGCCUUCUGGACUGACACUGACGCUGAGGUGCGAAAGCGUGGGUAGCAAACAGGAUUAGAUACCCGAGUAGUC